Molecule: ribosomal RNA, 459 nt
Filed under: uncultured Bacteroidota bacterium
Lineage: Bacteria; Pseudomonadati; Bacteroidota
Description: bacterial SSU rRNA
Rfam family: Bacterial small subunit ribosomal RNA
Source: RNAcentral
GGAUAAAGUGAGUCUCGUGAGACUUUUUGCAUGUACCUUAUGAAUAAGGACCGGCUAAUUCCGUGCCAGCAGCCGCGGUAAUACGGAAGGUCCGGGCGUUAUCCGGAUUUAUUGGGUUUAAAGGGAGCGUAGGCCGGAGAUUAAGCGUGUUGUGAAAUGUAGACGCUCAACGUCUGCACUGCAGCGCGAACUGGUUUCCUUGAGUACGCACAAAGUGGGCGGAAUUCGUGGUGUAGCGGUGAAAUGCUUAGAUAUCACGAAGAACUCCGAUUGCGAAGGCAGCUCACUGGAGCGCAACUGACGCUGAAGCUCGAAAGUGCGGGUAUCGAACAGGAUUAGAUACCCUGGUAGUCCGCACGGUAAACGAUGGAUGCCCGCUGUUGGUCUGAAUAGGUCAGCGGCCAAGCGAAAGCAUUAAGCAUCCCACCUGGGGAGUACGCCGGCAACGGUGCAACUCAA